AUCAUUAUUGAAUAAACUUGGUGGGUUGUAGCUGGCUCCUUGGAGCAUGUGCACACUCAUCAUAUUUAUCUAUCCACCUGUGCACACUCUGUAGUCUUGAGGAAAUGAGAAGCAGGCAUUUGUCUGUGUUAUCAUACUCUUGAGUCUAUGUGUCUUCAUAUACCACGUAGCCUGUCGCAGAAUGUAUUUAAUGGGCCUUUGUGCCUAUAAAAACUUUAUACAACUUUCAGCAACGGAUCUCUUGGCUCUCGCAUCGAUGAAGAACGCAGCGAAAUGCGAUAAGUAAUGUGAAUUGCAGAAUUCAGUGAAUCAUCGAAUCUUUGAACGCACCUUGCGCUCCUUGGUAUUCCGAGGAGCAUGCCUGUUUGAGUGUCAUUAAAUUCUCAACCCAUUCAACUUGUAAUAGUUGAUAUGUGGCUUGGAUAUGGGGGUUUUGUGCAGGCCUUGAUUCAAAGGUCAGCUCCCCUGAAAUGCAUUAGCGGAACGGUUUGCAAUCUGUCACUGGUGUGAUAAUUAUCUACGCCUAAGACUAUAGAAUGCUCUCUGUCUGUUCAGCUUAUAACAGUCCCAUUUUGUGG
Molecule: ribosomal RNA, 578 nt
Filed under: Melanophyllum haematospermum
Lineage: Eukaryota; Fungi; Basidiomycota; Agaricomycetes; Agaricales; Agaricaceae
Description: eukaryotic LSU rRNA
Rfam family: 5.8S ribosomal RNA (bases 222-375)
Source: RNAcentral